RNAcentral lists this transfer RNA (72 nucleotides) under Bos taurus (domestic cattle). It matches the Rfam family "tRNA". Rfam says of the family: Transfer RNA (tRNA) molecules are approximately 80 nucleotides in length. Their secondary structure includes four short double-helical elements and three loops (D, anti-codon, and T loops). The record is from Rfam by way of RNAcentral. RNAcentral also lists the same sequence under 3 other names. Lineage: Eukaryota; Metazoa; Chordata; Mammalia; Artiodactyla; Bovidae.
UCCCUAGUAGCUCAGAUGGUAAAGAGUCUGCUUGUAAUGCAGGAGACCUGGGUUUGAUCCCUGGGUUGGGAA